GGACCUGUGGUGUAGUCUGGAUAGCAUACCACCCUGCGGAGGUGGAGACCGGGGUUCAAAUCCCCGCAGGUCCA
This 74-nucleotide transfer RNA is filed under the name Nanobdellota archaeon. Its description in RNAcentral is "Nanoarchaeota archaeon tRNA-Arg". It matches the Rfam family "tRNA". From Rfam's summary of the family: Transfer RNA (tRNA) molecules are approximately 80 nucleotides in length. Lineage: Archaea; Nanobdellati; Nanobdellota. The record is from RNAcentral. RNAcentral also lists the same sequence under 1 other name.